Molecule: non-coding RNA, 73 nt
Organism: Podarcis lilfordi (Lilford's wall lizard)
Lineage: Eukaryota; Metazoa; Chordata; Lepidosauria; Squamata; Lacertidae
Source: the annotation of a GenBank genome assembly
AGUCAAAUAACUCAGUUGGUAGAGCAUGAGACUCUUAAUUUCAAGGUUGGGGGUUUGGGCCCCACUUUGGGUG